UAAGGAUUUAUUAAUUUCAAGAUCUGGCCACUGCAUCAUAAUUUUCCCAAAGCAACCUAAGCGCUACGGACUCUAGAUAGCCAAGUUGGACGAGCUCAGAACCGUAGCUGAGAAUCGUAAUCCCGAUGGAAGCAACGACGUCGAAGGCAUCGACCGGCAGAAAACGUCAACGAGAGCAGGAAUCUUCGCCGGAGACUGAAGCAGCCGACCAAUUUGUAUCACUAGAGGACAAUCUAAUUUUUAGCGACACCUUGGUAGCUCUUCGGAUGAUGCGUUCUCAGUUCCCUCGAAUCGAAAAGGUUUCAAUUCAGCCUUUCAUUUUAAGGUCACAAUUAUACAGCUGCGUCAAGGACAGGACACAAGUGGAUAGGGAAUUAGAGUCUCUGAAAAGGGAAUGCAUUAUACGUGUUUUUAAAUUAAAUACUGGACAAGACGAUCAUGCUGUAAUGUUUGUGGAUGACUACCAAAGUCAGAUUGAGCGUGCUGUCAAACGACUUCAGACCAAGAGGCAAGAUGAUCUGACUGUUUUUGAUUGGUUUAAAACACACGUCAUUCCUUCCAAGCUGGAUCCUAGUAUUGGACAUCAAGAACUUUUUUCACUUCUCUCAUUGGUGGGAAAGGUAAAAGAGGAACACAUCUCUCUUCUGAUUAAUGCUGGCCUUCUUACUCGGCAACUUAUUGAUCCCAACAUGUACUGGUUUGCAAUUCCAAAUAUUGGUUCGGUACUUAAGGGCCUGUCUCAGGGAAGAAAAGAGCUUCUCUCUUUUCUGAACCGCAGGAAGUAUAAGGAGAUGAUGUUGGCUCUUUUGGAGAAGAAACGCCUGCAUCAUUCUCUACUGGAUAUGAGAUUUCAUCUUAGAGAUCUAAUUGGUUCAGGUCACCUCAAAACCAUUCAGACACCCAGUGGUUUGGUUGUUCGAAUUGCUAAGGAUUAAAAGCAGGUUUGUACUGACUUUUGUUAGGGAUGACUCUUCAGAGAAACUUCACAAUACCAUAGGAGUUUUCAUGGUGCUAAACAGUUUGCAAAGGUCAACCUCUCUUUCCUGUUAAAGUUGGUGGUCAUACUCAAUUACUUAGUGGAAGUUGGAUCCUGAUUAUCAUGGUGGCAGUGAAAUUUGUGUGCCCAGAGACCUACCAAAAUUAAAUUAGACAUACUGGCAUAGAUUCAUUGACGACAAUAAUACUUGCAUUCUGGAGAUUGUUUGGGAGUGGUAAAUAAGAUACAGUUCCUUUUUUUUUUUUUUUGGUUUUUUGUUUUGCUGUUGCAUGUGUCUAUUUAAAUGCCUAAGAAUUCCUUGAGAAGACUUUCAUUAUGGGGGAGGAGUUGACAUUAUGGUUUAAGUUUUGAAUCAUCUAAUAAUGUCAUUAUAUUAUAGGGUAUGUUAUGAAAAACUUUUAUGGCUGGUUAUCUUUAAAUAACUGAUUAUCUUUGGGUUCUGGACAUGAAAUUUCAUUUUCUAGAUUAUUUUGAGUAGUUCUGACAGUUGCAUGGUAGAUGUUCAUUUUUAAGGGCCUCUGUUGGCAUAGGCAAUGCUUUGACAUCGCUUUGCCUGUAUGUUCUGGCAUUGUAACGUAGUCUGAACCAUCUAGAGUACUGCACUAUAAAUUAUUGUUGUCUAAUUAUGAACAGUACUGUAUUAGUCCUUGCUAUACAGCAUUACAAUAAGGAUUAACUUUUUAUGCGCUGACAGUAUUGUGAUUUUUUUACACUAGCAGCUUUAAAUGUAUGCCACAUGUGCAUGGUUUGAAUUUCAAAUUUGAAUUCAUGUUAUAUGGCAUGAUCUAAAUGUGCUUGUGUGAAAAAAUCUUUACACUGAUAGUGUAUGGAAAAGUUAUCCUUACAAUAAUUGUUAUUUUGUUUAUAAACGAUACCCUAGUACUACUGGUUCCCAGGAAUGGAUCUGCAGUGAAGCUUAACCUAUUUUACCUAUUCACAAGAGUUGGUGCAGUUGCUUCGGUAGCUGAGCAGUCAAAGAUGGCAUCAUAAGCAUGAAUUCUUGUUGGUUUCAGUAUUUUUCUUAUCUGAAAUUUGUUUUUACCGAACAAGAUUUGUCUUUGUGAAACUCAAUAAUGCAUGGAAUUUUUGGUUUUGAUUGAGCUAUUGUACCAUGAAGAGUUUCAGCUCAAGUAUCAUUGAGUUGGAUGGAGACCUAAACCCUGUAGUAUUUCUUUUCUAUGAGCUAAUAUUUAUUACCUAAUAAUUAUUUAAAGGCAAAGAUUAAAUCAAACAGAGUGGAUCUGAAUUUUUAGCUUAAAUGUAAUGCUCCAUAUUAGCAUGCUUGUCAUACGAAUGCUGAUGGCUGACAAUUGUACUGUUUGCAUUUGUUCAAGUUGAACCUGUGUGUGUAACAAAUCUCUCUAUAAUUCUUGGAACUUUAAUGGGCUGUACUGAUGAUUUUGAAGAUUUAAGGUAGAUUGCAUAGUUUAUAUCUGCAUGUAUAUAUAUAUAUAUAUAUAUAGCCAAAUAGAUUGGGAUCUUGAUGGUGCAAUCCAUCCACAAAAAAAUUCUUUUAAUUGUGGGCCUAGCAUGGUUUGCCUUUUGCUAUGCUUUUGUUGUUUCGUCCUUCUUGUCCUCCUCCCCCAUUUCUUGUUUUUUUAUCAAUUGUUCUGUAGGUUUGUUAGUUCCCUUUUUGAAAGACAUAAAGCAUUUCAAUCAAUUUGAAUGGUGUAACCGGAUUAUGCCUGGUGAAUUUUCCUAGCUUAUGUUCGUGGAUGCAAAUUGGGCUUUAAUUUAGGGCUAGAUGUAGGGAGUGGAUGGGUGGAAGUCGGUGCAAUUUUAUACAUGGUGGUGAUGUUUCACAUCAGGACAUGGGGAACCAAAACUUGCUCAAAAAUAAAAGAUGAUAGGAAAUGUAGACCCAUGUUUGGUUUGAAGUAGCUGUUGGGGGGAGACGGAGAGAAGCAGAUAAACAACAGUACAACAUGGUACAUAGGAUCCUGCCCUGUUUCGAAAUACUACUAUUUGAUUCGUUCAAGGGUUGGGACAUGAGAUCACUUCAGGGGAUAUUCAAUCAUCUGCGGUAGGAAUAUGCUGGGCUUUGCCUGCCCGGUAUAGCCCUCCCUGCUUGUGCCUAACAUCUUUCGAGUGAUGCCACAUAAAGUAAUUCUGCAAAAUUUUGAGGCCCAUUUGGGAUGACGCGAGAUAUGUCAGCAUCCAGUAGGGAAUCCCACGGCUUUGCUUCCGUGUCUCUGCUCACGUGUUUGUCUGUUGAUUUUGUCUGAGAAUGAUUUGUUAAUAGGAAAGACUUUGCCACAAGAACAGUUUGGUAUUAUUUUACAACAAACUUUCAUACUUUAUA
Molecule: non-coding RNA, 3299 nt
Organism: Coffea arabica (coffee)
Lineage: Eukaryota; Viridiplantae; Streptophyta; Magnoliopsida; Gentianales; Rubiaceae
Source: RefSeq, a predicted model, not a curated record